This 9454-nucleotide long non-coding RNA is filed under the name Ananas comosus (pineapple). Its description in RNAcentral is "long non-coding RNA (ACOM_LNC037384)". Lineage: Eukaryota; Viridiplantae; Streptophyta; Magnoliopsida; Poales; Bromeliaceae. The record is from RNAcentral.
AGAUGGAUCAACUGCCACCCUAAUCAGUUAAUUCGCGAAUUAUUAAAAAUCCGAAUUAAACGGUCCGCUUACGAAUUUUUUUCCAAAGAAAGUGAAUUAUUCGCAAAUUUUUGGACCAGCCGAAUUAUUCGCGAAUUAUUCUCAAAUUAUUGAAAAAUGAAUAAAAAAUUUAUAAUUUUUAUUUUUAAAUAUAGAUUAUUUUUUAUAUUUUAUAUUUUAUACCGAAUCCGUUUUUUAAGCCGAAUUUUUCAACAAAUUUAAAAAUUAAAAAAACGAAUUUUAUGCGUAUUAUAUCCAUACCGAAUUUUUGCCGAAUCCAAAUUAACUAACUAUGACUGCCACUCACCACUUCAAUUUAGGGAUGCAAACGGGGCGGAUUUAGGGGCGGGAGCCCCGCCCCGCCCCGCCUUCUGCCCCGACUAGCAAAAUCCCGCUCUGCGUCUCGCCCCGAAUUCGUGACGGGUUAAAAAAUAUAUCUCAUAAUCUGUCCCGCCUCGUAACCCGCCUCCCGCCAGUGUCCCGAAUUCGUCCCGCCAACUAAUAUUUUUUAUAAAAUUAUAAUAUUAUUAAUAUUUUGUAAAAUAUAAAAUAAUAAUUUUUAAUAAUAUUACAUAUAUAGAACUAGGCUGGAAUACUAUCAAUAGCACCAAACUAUUGGUGCUAUUGAUUUUUUAGCCCUUAGAUUGAGAAAUGGGUUGUUAGGAUGAUGUGGGCCCCCUAGGGUUGAGUGAGUAGUUGGUUGAAUAGUAUAAUCUAACGGAUAAAAAUAAUCAUAGGGUUAAAUCGAAUGGUGAAAAACUCGGCAACACCAAAUCCUUAGUGCUAUCGAUAGUACCCAACCGGACUCACACACACACACACACACACACACACACACAUAUAUAUAUAUAUAUAGAGAGAGAGAGAGAGAGAGAGAGAGAGAGAGAGAGAGAGAGUUGAGCUAUGAUACUUUUACAAGUAUCACCAUCAUGGUGCUAUUAGGUUUUAAGCUAUUGGAUCUACUUUUUGAUUAUUAAUAGCCCUUGGAUUAAACACUAUUCCACCUACCACCACCUACCACCAUCAUCUCAACCUCACAUCUCUCCAUCCAAAGGCUAAAAACACACAAGUAUCACCCCCAUGAUACUUUUACAAGUAUUCUAUAUAUAUAUAUAUAUAUAUAUAUAUAUAGAAUUAGGCUGGAAUACUAUUAAUAGUAAAACGCUCUUUUUGCUAUCAAGUUUUUAGCCCUUGGAUGAAAAAUUAUAGGGUCAGGAUGAUAUUAGUCGGUUAGAGUUGAGUGAGGAGUUGAGUGGUCCCCCUAGGGUUGAGUGGUUCCCACUGGAUUAUAGUAUUUAAUCCAAUGGUUAGAAAUAAUGAAAAGAGUUGAUCCAAAGGCUAAAAAAUUGGUAGCAAUAAUAAAAUUUUGCUACUAAUAGUAGCUCAGUCCAACUCUAUAUAUAUAUAUAUAUAUAUAUAUAUAUAUAAAAUUAACAACAUCAAUUAUAAAAAUAAAAAAUAUCAAUCAUAAUUCGAAGUAAAAUUCAAAAGUUUUAAAUACAUAAGAAAUGAGAGCACUAAUUUAUUUAUAUUUUAAACUUUUUUAUAAAUACAUUAGUUUUUUGGAGUAUUUUUUAAAAUAUAAAUAGUUUUCGCGGCAGAUUCGGAACGGAUUCGGAGCGGAUCAUGACGGGGCGGAUCAAAAUUUUUCUCAUUUUUAUCCUGAAUCUAUCUCGAAUCAUAAAAUUUAUCAUAUUUUUUAUCCCGAAUUCAUUUAUUUUCUUCCCUUUAGUGCCUCGUUCGGAACGGGUUAGGAGAGAAGCUCCACCAACGAUACGUUUGCAUAGGGCUGGCAAACGAGCGAGACGGCUCGCGUUCGACUCGUGUUCGGCUCGAUAUUCGGCUUGCUCGAGCUCGACUCGAAAUUAAAUGAGCCGAGCUUGAACAAAAUAAAAGGCUCGAAAUUCAUUUCAAGCCGAGCUUGAGUAUUACUCGGCUCGUUCGAAUUAGGCUCGAAAAGCUCGAAAAGCUCGAAUAUAUAUAUAUAUAUAUAUAUACUAUAUAUAUAUAUAUAGAAUUGAGCUCCUAUACUUUUAAAAGUACCAAGUCAUUUGUGCUUGUAAGUUUUUAGCCCUUGGAUUAAUAGAUGUGCGGUUAGGAUGAUGUGGGCCCCCUUGGGUUGAGUGGGUGGUUGGUUGAAUAGUAUAAUCUAACGGGUGAAAAUGAUCAAAGGCGUAGAUCUAACGGUAAAAAAUUCACAAGCACCAAGUGCUCGGUACUUUUACAAGCACCAUAGCCGGACUAUAUAUAUAUAUAUAUAUAUAUAUAUAUAGGGUUUAUGGUUUAGGUAUUUAUAAAUAUAAAAUAUUUAUAAAUAUAAUGUAUUUUAAUUAUAUAUAGGCUUUAAUUUAAUUUGGGCAAUUAUUGUUGGCCCAUAAAAUAAACCCAACAAGUACAACCGUGCAAUUGAGCCCAACUAUAAAUUUACAUAACACACUCUCUCUUUCAGAUUUUCACUGUUGCACAUAAUCCUAAAACAUGAUAACAUUCAAAUUCUCAAAUCCCUAAUUUUUUUCUCCCCUCUCUCUCUCUCUCUCUCUCUCUCUCUCUCUCAGACCCUCACCCAGUCAGGCAGUCACCCUUGCUCACAUUUCUUGCAAUUAUUUUGUAUUUUGAACUAUUGGACAUGUUGCAUCAAAUUAUAAGUAAUGUUAUAUAAAAAUUAAAUUAUUGAUUAUAUAAUGUCGAGAAUUUCAAUCGGCUCGUUUAGAGCUCGAGCUCGGCUCGACUCGAAACUAAGCUCGCUCGAGCUCGGCUCGAAUUAAUUUCAAGCCGAGCUUGAGCCUAGAUUUAGGCUCGAAAUUAAUUUCAAGCCGAAUUUGAGCUGACAUAAGCUCGCUCGAGCUCGGCUCGUUUCCACCCCUACGUUUGCAUGCCUACUUCUGUUACUGGACUAGUACUAUGAUCCACAAGGUCGGACCAAAUGGAUGGAUCACAUGAGGCUGCGGCGUGACUGGGAGCUCUGUGGCUCCCAUACUCCCUCCAACGGAUAAACGGCCGACACGUGGCACUACUCUAAUGGCCAAAUCCCGCCAUCCCCAAUCCCAUUCCGAUCCAGCCUAUUCCACAUCACAACACGCAUUUACGUCUCUGCUUCUCUCCUUCUCUCCCUCCCAGUACUCCUCCUCCGGGAAGGGAAGCAGCUCCGCCAUGGCUCCCGCCCUCACCUCCAACUCCUUUCGACUCACCUCCGCCCCGCCUCGCCGGAGCUCCACCACCAUUACCGCCUCGGCGGCGGCCCCCAAGCCGAAUCCCUUCGGGAUCUUCUCGACGCCGCCCAAGAAGAAGAAGAAGCAGGGCGGGGAGGAGGGGGACGCAAAUUCCAACCCUAACCCCAAGAAUCCGUUCUCGGUGGACUUCAAGUCGCUGGUGCCGGUGGUGGGGUCGCCGUCGACGUCAGCGCUGUUCGCGGGCGGCGUGGGGCGGCGGCGGAAGGAUGCACAGACGGUGUUCGUGGCGGGGGCCACGGGGCAGGCAGGCGCUCGGAUCGCCCGCAGCCUUCUCCGGGGCGGCUUCACCGUGCGGGCCGGCGUGUCCGACCUCGCCGCCGCGCAGGAGCUCGCCCGCAUCGCCGCCGCCUACAAGGUCAGCACUCCGCAACCCCCCCCGCACGUACCUAGGUUCCUGCCCCGUACCGUACGUAGCGCAAGUGUACUGCAAUUAAGGAGGCUACUAAUUAAAGAGGACACAAUAUCGUCCAUUCUAGAGCUCUCCCACGGGAGGAAUUUUACAAGAUCACACUUACACCACUUCAUUAAUAAUAAGCCAAUCAUAUUUUUUCUUUUCAAACAAAAAUAUAAUAAAUAUUUUUUUUUAUAAUUAUGAUGAGACAUAUAUUUUUUUUAAAAAAUAUUUAAUUAUUUAUUACGUCACGUUAUCAAUAUAUCCGUUGCAUUCUAAAAUUUUUCCUUCCACGGCCCGGACGAACAAAAAUUAUAUAAACACCCUCCAUUCCCGUAGAUACCGUGAAGGACUAAAAUUGUAUGGACGCCAUUUGCAAGCACAAUAUCCGAUGGGACUGUAAAAUUGUACAGAGACCCCUCAACUAUGUGCUGUAUUGAAAUAGACUCUUUUUCUAUCUUUUUAAUAUGCGAUUUUAUGUACAGUUAAAUUUAUAAUUUUGUUACAUUUAAAUAAUUUAUUAGUAUUAUUGAUUAAUUUAAUUGUAUUUACUUAAACUAAUUAAUUAAAUUUAGUAAAAUUAUUAAUGAAUUUAAUAAAAUUUCUUAUGUAACUAAAAUUAAUUAAUUCUAAAAAAAGAUAAAAAAAACUAGCAUGUUACCUCAUGAUUUAGCGAAAGAGGUAAUUUCAAUUUGUCUCCUUAUAGCUUAGCAAGUUAUUAUCUUGCUACCUUACGGUUUAAAAACUAGUAUAUAGAUAUUUUAUUAUUUUAUUUUUAUGACUAAAAUAUAAAAAUAAAUUUUAUAAAUAUCAUUUUUUUUACUCUUAAAAAUUUUUAUUUUUCCUACUCUUCAAAAUUACUUUCAGAAAGUUAUGACAUUAAAAGAGAGAGGGUGAAUGUCCAAAUUAUUUCUACUAUCGUCAUUUUCAAGGAUAUUUUGGUAUAUACAAGUCAUAAAUUGACAAAAUAUUAACAAAACGGCGGGUUUAAGUGCAUCAAAAUAAAAUUUUGGAGUAGGCAAAAGUACAAAUUUUUAAAAAUGAGAAAAAAAUUAAAAAUGAAUAUUUAUAUGAAGUUUGUUUUUUAACUAAUUUAUAUUUCAUUGUCAAAAUAAUUAAUAAAUAUCAAUAAAUAGGAUUCUAAUUAAUAUUUUGAUAAAAAUAUAUAUAACUUAUCUAAAUUAUGGAUCAUUUUAAUUCGACUAUCUUUCAAAAUUAUAGUUUUAUUAUUCAACCUUUCAAUUUAUUUGAUUUGACUCAAUCAAUGACAUUUUUGAUUUUAAAAUUUAAAUGCUUAUUUAUCUUUAUAUGUUUAAUUAGUAUAUUUAUGCUCUUCUCACAGCUAUGAAUUUAUUAAAAUAAGUAAUUAAUUUAUAUUUUAAAGUGAAAGUGUCGUUAACUAACUUAAAUCAAAUAAGUUGAAAGGUUAGAUAGUAAAAUCAAGGAAAAAAUUCACGUAUCACUCAUGUGGUUUUUCACUUUCUUACUUUAAUAUUCUAUAAUUUAAAGUGUAUCACUUUUGUGACGCCCCAACUUUCCAGGGGGUCACCCAUCCUAGGACUACUCCCGUCCUAGCACGCUUAACUCUCUUAACCUCUUGGGCCUUACCACCGCCCAAAAUGCUUAAGCCGGAUUAAGAGUUUAGCCCUAUUAUAUCUCAUAUAUAAGACUAUCUGGGGUCUCACAGUCUCCCCUCCUUUAANNNNNNNCACGCUUAACUCUCUUAACCUCUUGGGCCUUGCCACCACCUAAAAUGCUUAAGCCUGGUUAAGAGUUUAGCCCUAUUAUAUCUCAUAUAUAGGACUAUCUGGGGUCUCACAACUUUCGUGACCUAUAAUUUUAUUUUAUUUUUUUGUUAUCCCCUCCACUAAUUUUUUCUUUAAAUCAGUGACAAAGUUAAAACAUAAAAAUACUAAAGUGAAUAUUCGAUAAACUAUAGGUGAGGUAUCUAAAUUUUUUGUAUAUAAUUUAAUGUAAAGUUAACGGAUGGGCCGAUAAAAAAAGAAAAUGAAAACAUAGGGCACUAAAUUGAUACACUUUAAACCAUAGAGUACUAAAGUGAUAAAUUGCGAAACCACAGGGGCGGUAUUUGAAGUUUAUCUUAAAAUCAAAAUUUUGAAAAAUUGGAUAACUAAAUGAAAAUGAUUCACAGUUCAGUUCAGAUAAGUUUUGUAUGUUUUUAUCUAAUUUUUUUAAAUAAAUACAAAUAAAAAGCACAAAUUAUAAAAUAAUAAAAUAACAUAUUUCAAAUUUAUUACUAAUAAGUUAUUAAAUAUUAUAAAAUUGUAAAAUUUAACCAUAUAUAAAAUCUAAAAUUAAAAAAAAAAAGAAAAGGAGUGUAUUUCAAAAUGUACCAUAGUUGAAGGGCCAUCAUACAAUUUUACACCUCUUGAUUCUUGUCAGAACGAAAGUUAGGCAAAAAUGUACAGAACUUAUCACUACGGUGGACAAUUUUGGAUUAAUUAUCUAACCUUACAAAAGAAUUUGGUUUUAUUAUUUAAUCUUAUUAACAUUAUUAUGACUUUAAAAUUAAUUUAAUUAUUAUAAUAAAUUUAUAUUUAUAAAAAUUAUAAAAAUUAUAUUAAUUAAAUUAAAUGAAUAAAGAUAAACGAUUUGUUUAAAUUUGUUUAAAAAACUAUAGUAGACUGAUUUAAAUUAAAUAAAUUAAAAAUUAAAUUUUAAUAAUUAAUUUAAAAUAGCACAUAAUUAAUGCGUUCUUAUCUAAAACUUACGUAGACAUUGUGGUCUCGGUGUCAAUAUAAUUUGGUGCCCAAAUAACUAUUCUCCCUCGGUGCCUCGGUGGCCUAGCGUGUCGUGUAGUGAGUAGUGACCCAUAUUAACUGCACUCAAAAUAGUCUCAUAAUAAUUGAGCAGGAGAUAUUUUGCAGGCUAAGGGGUUAUUUGGUUCUACGAAAAAUUUUAAAAAAAAUUUGAUGAAAAAUAUUUUUUUGUGGAAUUUUUUUUUUUUUACCACAUUUAGUGUUUGGUUCGUAGUUUAUUUAUAUUAAUUUUUAUUAUAAUUUAUAUUUGUGAAUUAAAUAUACUAAAAUUAUAUAAUAUGAUAACUUGAUAGGUAUAUAAUAUAAUAGGGUUAAUUUGAUACAGCUCCCUGCAAAUAUAGUGAAUGAAAAAUAUAUCAUUAUAAAACUCAACUUUCAUAUGUUGUUCUUGUAAAAAUUUCGAUAUUUUCAAAAUAUGUCCCUCUAAUUUGUUACCGUUAGAGAACUAUUUAUAUUUUCAAUUUUGCCAUCAUAAAUAUGUCUCUCCAAAAAUAAUAAUAGUAUAAUAUAAGAGGGAUAAAAAUAUUAAGAACUAAUUAGGGUUAAGUAUUUAAACUAUAGUUUUUAUAAUGGAUUUUAACAGCAGAAAUAUAUUUGAAAAUAUCACGACUUUGUAGGGACAACAUAUGAAAGUUGAACUUUGUAGGAAUAUAUUUACUAUUCACCAUAUUUUCAGGAGUUUGUAUGAAUUAAUCUAAUAUAAUAUGAGCAGGUAUAACCUAAAAUGAGGUGUACAUCUUACACCCACUCCAUCCUAAGGCCAUUAUUAUCACAUUAAUUUUUUAAAAUUCUACUAAAAGCCAAUUCGAUUUUUAUCAACCUUAGAAUUGCGGGUAUAAGAUGUACACCGCAUUUUGGGGUGUACAAGAAGCAUUUUUCAUAUAAUAUAUGUAAUAGUAUACAUAUAAUACUAUAUAAUAAAAAUAUGUAAUAAUUAUAAAUAAAAAUAUAAAAAAUAUAUAAUAACUUUUCACUCUUUCCCUCGCUCUCUCCUAUAUAUAUAUAUAUAUAUAUAUAUAUAUAGAGUCCGUCUCCCGUACUUUCGAAAGUACGGGAGGCCCCGUGCUUGUAAGUUGUUUUCGAUGAUAGGACGUUUAAUUCGACGAUCGGCUCCGUUAGAUAUGAUCUACCCUAUUGGAACUAUCUAGAAACCAAAUUUUAGAUUUUUUUGACAUCAUUUACUAAGCGAUCAAAAGGUCUAGAAAAUGACUAUUUUAACGGUCGAUGUGGCACAUUUUUAAGUUCAACGGUGUAGAAGUAUCCAAAUUACAUGAAAAUUUAAUAGAAAAUUCUACUUAAUAUCAAUAGCAAGAUCAAUACUUCCGAUUUAAAAUUUGAAUCCUUUAUCACUAUUUUUUAUGAGAUUUUCAUUUUCAGCCGUUCAUUUUGAGGCUACUCGUUCACUAGACAAACGAAAUUAAAAAAUUAUGAAAUUUGGUUUCUAGAUAGCUCCAAUAGUGUAGAUCAAGUUUAACGGAACCGAUCGCCGAAUCGGAUGUCCCAUCAUCGAAAACAACUUACAAGCACGGGGCCUCCCGUACUUUCGAAAGCAUAGGAGCCUAGCUCUCUCUCUAUAUAUAAAUAUAUAUAUAGUUGAGUUAGAAUACUAUCGUUAGCAAACGAGCUCCGGUGCCACCCAUUUGUUUUCGAUGAUAGAGCCUCCAAAUCGACGAUCGGCACCGUUGAACAUGAUCUAUACCACUUGAAGUGUUUAGAAAUCAAAUUUCAUAUAUUUUCGAUAUUGUUCUCUUAUCCAUCGAGUGNUUUUCGAUGAUGGAGCCUCCAAAUCGACGAUCGGCACCGUUGAACAUGAUCUAUACCACUUGAAGUGUUUAGAAAUCAAAUUUCAUAUAUUUUCGAUAUUGUUCUCUUAUCCAUCGAGUGGACAUAAAUAUGAACGGCUAAAAAUAAAUAUUCUUUAAAAAAUGAUGAUAGGAGUCUUGUAAUCAAGAUCAAGAGUAUAGAUCUUGUUUUAAAUAGUUUAAAGAAUUUUUUAACAAAAAUUUAAUUGAUUUUGAUAUCUUUACACCGUUAAACAAGAAAACGCCUCAUAUCGACCAUUAAAAUUACAAAUUUUGAAACCCUUUGAUCAUUAGGCAAAUGAUAUCGAAAAGAUUUCAAAUUUGAUUUCUAAACACUUCAAGUAGUAUAGAUCAUGUUCAACGGUGCCGAUCGUCGAUUUGGAAGCUCUAUCAUCGAAAACAAAUGGGUGGCAACGGAGCCCAUUUGCUAUCGAUAGUAUUCUAGCUCAACUCCUCUCUCUCUCUCUCUCUUUCUCUCUCUCUCUCUCUCUCUCUAUAUAUAUAUAUAUAUAUAUAUAUAUAUAUAUAUAUAUAGAGUAAGGCUACUAUACUUCUGGAAGCAUGGAGCUUUCCGUGCUUCCAGGUCGUUUUUCAUGUUGCGACUUUCGAAUCGUCGAUCGGCUCCGUUAAACUUGAUCUAGAGUAUUUGAAGUAUCUAGAAAAUAAAUUAAGCGAUUUUUCGAUAUUAUUUGCCGAGUGAACGAAGGGGCUCAAAAUCAACAGCUAAAAAUAAAAAUCGUACAAAACGUGAUAAUAUGAUAUUAAAAUUUUAGAUCAAAGAUAUUGAUCUUGUUUUAUAUAGUAUAAAGAAUUUUCUAUCAAAAUUUCACGUGAUUUGAAUAUUUCUACACCGUUAAACUUGCAAACGGCUCACUACGGCCAUUAAAAUUAUUGAUUUUGAGCCCCUUCGAUCACUAGGCAAAUGAUAUCGAAAAAUCAUAAAAUUUAUUUUCCAAGUACUUCAAAUACUCUCGAUCAAGUUUAAUGGAGCCGAUCGACGAUUCGAAAGUCGCAACAUGAAAAACGACCUGAAAGUACGGAAGGCUCCGUGCUUCCAGAAGCAUAGUAGCCUCACACUAUAUAUAUAUAUAUAUAUAUAUAUUGUCCGGCUACUAUGUUAUUAAUAGCACGAAGCACUUAGUGCUACCAAGUUUUCCGCCGUUAGAUCUACUUUUUUGAUUAUUUUCAUCCGUUAGAUCAUACUAUUCAACC